This 90-nucleotide transfer RNA is filed under the name Lentinula guzmanii. It matches the Rfam family "tRNA". From Rfam's summary of the family: Transfer RNA (tRNA) molecules are approximately 80 nucleotides in length. Their secondary structure includes four short double-helical elements and three loops (D, anti-codon, and T loops). Lineage: Eukaryota; Fungi; Basidiomycota; Agaricomycetes; Agaricales; Omphalotaceae. The record is from Rfam by way of RNAcentral.
GGCCGCCUGGCGAAAUGGCAUCGCGUCUGACUACGAUGAUGAUUGUUAUUCAUAAUCAGGAGAUUGCAGGUUCGACCCCUGCGGUGGUCA